This is a small nucleolar RNA of Haliotis rufescens (red abalone), 70 nucleotides long. RefSeq annotates it as small nucleolar RNA R38. The record is from RefSeq and is a predicted model, not a curated record. NCBI's taxonomy places the organism in Eukaryota, Metazoa, Mollusca, Gastropoda, Lepetellida, Haliotidae. The transcript has a single exon.
UUUUGCCUGUGAUGAUGAAAGUUAUCCCUGUCAGAUUAUGGACUGUUGAAAUGUUUUAUCUGAGGCAAAU